GCUUAAGCAAGGCAGUGAAAGUAGAGAAGAGCAGAGGAAACAAGGUGAAACAGAGAGGUACGAGUCAAUAUCAUAGGAGUUCAAGGACAAAAUAAUUGUGAAUGUAGUCAAGAUAAUUAUACCUUAUCAAGGUGGCUGUACUUCAGACACUGGCCUAUUCUACUGUUCCUGUUUUAUGAGGAGCAACGCUGUAAGAGGAGCUCAGUCUGUGAGGAAGAGGAGAGGCACUGAGAGGCUUCAGCGCCUGCAGCAUUUUCCUGAGUGCCCUUUCCAUGGUGCUCUGCACAAAAGUGAAGCCAGUCCAGAUACCUCUCUUUUUCAGCCUAACCACAGGAUUACUGAGGUAAUGAAGAUGGGAUUCUACUUGUACUUUUAGAAAUGUUAUUAAUGGGAUUCCUGAUUGCCAAUGAAAGUCUUUGCUGGCUCCUGAUGGACUGUAUUAAUUUCUUUUGGAGCUGUAAAACACUGACUGUUCCAAAUCAUCUUAAAGAUGCCCCUUCUCAGUCACUCCAGGAGAAAAUUUCCAGAAAAAAAAUCCAUCAAGCUGAACACAUGUGAGCAAGGAGAGGUGCCCAGCCUUUCUAAAAGGAGCAGCAGAGAACUGGGCACAUGCUGCUCCAUGGCACUCAUACCCUUCUCCAGUGCUGCUCCUUUGGCAGUGUUUUCACGCUCAACAUACAGCAGCAAAGAAUAUUAAAACAUGGAAUCUUCACCCUGCUGUUAAAAGCAUCACCGACAACAAAAUAUGCAUUGUAAAGAAUUGUCGAGUUCUUACUUGACCAUGGUAUUCUACAUCCAAAAGUAGAGAAGAGUGUAAGAAAAGUGGCUCAGACUAAGCUGAAUAGGAAUUAGAGUGCAAGAAGAAGAGGGCUUGCACAAAUCUGUAAGACUGAACAGUGGAGAGGCAAUAAAAGAGAAGAUUUGCUGGAGAAAGGAACCUGAAGCCCAAAAGGAAAUCUAUAGACUUCUUGCAAUGUUUUUCUUUAGAUUACAAACCAAGUGGUGUCAAGGAAAGGUGUUAGAGUUUAGAGAUCUCUGAGGGAAGUCCCUCUCUCUUCACUUUUGAAAUAAAAGGUUUUCCAAAUACUCUUGCAAAUAAAACAAUAGAAAGAAAAUAUGUGGUUUCUUUUGAGACAUGCACAGAAGCAUUUAUGGCAGUUCUAAAGCAUUGUUGAUAUGAUGCUGUUAUCUUUUUUUAGCCAGCAAAAUUGUGGCUUUGAUCCUUAACACCUUUGUAACACAGGUGAUGCAAUACAAAUGGGAUUGCUCUUGGCAUGCCAUGGGAAGGUUUUGCUCCUUUUUCUCAAGAUGGGUGAGAAUGGAUCUGUUCUGUGAAGUUGGUUUUUCUCUAAAGAGCUACAGUAAUGCUUGAUGUGCAGUUAGUUAUUUUAAUUCUUUAACACUAAAAGAGAAGCUGACUUCUGCUGAGCAGCAGCCUCUGGUUUUCUGCAUUGAAUAAAGGAGGUGAGUGGCUGGGUGCUGAAGCAAAGUUGCUGUCGAGGUUUGGGACUUAUUUAUUAAGGUACAGAAUGAAGGAGUGUUCUAGAUUUAAGCUGGGGAGGAAGAGAAGAUAGACUGGCAUAGUGAAGAAGUGGUGCAGUUUCAUAGGUUAAAUGGAGGAUACGUGAAUGAAAUCCUGUUUGCUGCUUAUAGGUGCAUAAAAGGAUGUGGAUCACCGUAAAUAUCUUGGUAUUUUAUGGUACUUGUUGCCUGUGGAAGAUGCAUUUGUCCCUGUUUAUCUUAAUAUGUCAGUGUCUUUAUGCUUCUCUGCUGGAUGAAUUGAAAUUUAGAGGCUCUAAAUCUGAUUAAAAAAACCUUUUUGGUCCAGGCUUGGGAGAGUUUCAAUGAAGCUGUUUCUGUGCAUGUCUAAGAAAUUCAUCCACUCUCUGAUUGCUACCAAAUAGCUCCAGUCUCUAGAGAUUUGUUCUAACUUGUGAGCUUUCUGGGGAAGCAGUUGACAACUCAGUUUUCAGUUGGGCUGUUAUGGAGCUGUGGACGUCAUUUGGAUAUGGAUCCAGUGUAAAGCUGGAGGAGAGGAAAGCAUCAGCCUCACUGCUUCUGGAGCCUUUCUCGAAUGGCCGGUUUGUGUGAGGGCCUGGCUGCCGUAAUAUGGAACUGAAACCUGGCAGAGAGACUGGUUUAGGUCUGCCUGAGAAAUAGUGGUUUGUUUUCCAAGCUCCACUCUGAGGUAAGUUCUGUGUGCUGCACGUCUUUAAGUCAUAUGUGUGUUUUGGUAGGUGGACUGUCGGAAUAUGAACAUACGUCAGGUUAUCUUCCCAACAGGCUCAAGGGGAGGCAUUUAGCUAUUAGUGACAGUGAAUUCAGUCCUGGAGGUAGUGAGUUGAAAGGGCUUUGUGUUUACAGGUAUGUGCAGCUCUGCAGUGUGUUCUGCAUCUGCUGAUGUGUAGGGAAGAGAAAGGCAGUGAUGCUGUGGUGGAGCUGUUAGAGGAAAGCAGUUAAUGCCUGCCACUAUAGCCCUCACUGCUCUCCGUGGAUGCCCUGGUGAUGGAGGUGAUGCAGCUCAAAACCGAAGAGGAACCUCUACUGGUGUCUGUGAGAGUUGGUGCUUUUCAAAGAAUUAUUCCUUUUCUACUCAUGCUGAUCUUAGG
Pyrgilauda ruficollis (rufous-necked snowfinch) is the source of this 2609-nucleotide long non-coding RNA. RefSeq lists it as uncharacterized. The transcript is spliced from 3 exons. The record is from RefSeq and is a predicted model, not a curated record. Lineage: Eukaryota; Metazoa; Chordata; Aves; Passeriformes; Passeridae.